AAACCAGCUGACACAUCCUAAGAACUCAUGUUUUUAGUAACGAAAAGAAGGUACAACCUGAGUUCUAGGAUGACUAUCAUCAACUGCUGGAAUGAGACAGAUUCAGUGGAAAUUCACGAUGAAGGAAACCAAGGCUCAGAGGAAAGCAUGUCCUUGAAAAGGUUACACAGUGAUUCGUAGGACAACUGGGAUUGGAACCUCUGCAGAUGACUUCCAGACCAUUAUGUAUCAAUAUCUAGGUCAAGACAAAUGGAAUUGCUGGUUCUCUGGGCUCCAUGGUUACCUAUUCUUUGUUUAUUCCUCUGUGUCACUCUGACAGUCACUAUUCACAUGAGCUGUGCCUGUUCCAGGACUGACAAUGUACUCUGUGGAUGAGAGCAGAGGUACUGUGGCUGGCUCUCACAGCAUCCCUGGCAGAGCUGAAUCACCUAAAGCCACGUGCAGAUCAAGGAGGAGAUUAACCAAGAUGGCGGAGUAGAAGGACGUGCUGUCACUCCCUCUUGCGAGAGCACCAGAAUCACAACUGACUGCUGGACCAUCAUUGACAGGAAGACCCUGGACUUCACCAAGGAGGAUACCCCACGUCCAAGGACAGAGGAGAAGCCACAGUGAGACGGUAGGAGGGGCGCAAGCAGAGUAAAAUCAAACCCCGUAACUGCUGGGUGGGUGACUCACAGACUGGCGAACACUUAUACCACAGAAGUCCACCCACUGGAGUAAAGGUUCUGAGCCCCACGUCAGGCUUCCCAACCUGGGGGUCAGGCAACGGGAGGAGGAAUUCCUAGAGAAUCAGACUUUGAAGCCUAGUGGGAAUUGGAUUGAAGGACUUUGACGGGACUGGGGGAAACAGAGACCCCACUCUUGGAGGGCACACACAAAGUAAUGUGUGCAUCAGGACCCAGGGGAAGGAGCAGUGAGCCUGGGGGAGACUGAACCAGACCUACCUGCUGGUGUUGGGGGGUCUCCUGCAGAGGCGAGUGGUGGCUCUGUUUCACCGUGGGGAUA
Balaenoptera ricei (Rice's whale) is the source of this 1005-nucleotide long non-coding RNA. RefSeq lists it as uncharacterized. NCBI's taxonomy places the organism in Eukaryota, Metazoa, Chordata, Mammalia, Artiodactyla, Balaenopteridae. The record is from RefSeq and is a predicted model, not a curated record. The transcript has 5 exons.